CCUACGGGAGGCAGCAGUGGGGAAUCUUGCGCAAUGGGCGAAAGCCUGACGCAGCCAUGCCGCGUGAAUGAUGAAGGUCUUAGGAUUGUAAAAUUCUUUCACCGGGGACGAUAAUGACGGUACCCGGAGAAGAAGCCCCGGCUAACUUCGUGCCAGCAGCCGCGGUAAUACGAAGGGGGCUAGCGUUGCUCGGAAUUACUGGGCGUAAAGGGAGCGUAGGCGGAUAGUUUAGUCAGAGGUGAAAGCCCAGGGCUCAACCUUGGAAUUGCCUUUGAUACUGGCUAUCUUGAGUUUGGGAGAGGUGAGUGGAACUCCGAGUGUAGAGGUGAAAUUCGUAGAUAUUCGGAAGAACACCAGUGGCGAAGGCGACUCACUGGCCCAAUACUGACGCUGAGGCUCGAAAGCGUGGGGAGCAAACAGGAUUAGAUACCCUGGUAGUCCACGCCGUAAACGAUGAGUGCUAGUUGUCGGCAUGCAUGCAUGUCGGUGACGCAGCUAACGCAUUAAGCACUCCGCCUGGGGAGUACGGUCGCAAGAUUAAAACUCAAAUGAAUUGACGGCNGAGAGNGCGAGACGACGACGAGGGAGAGG
This 591-nucleotide ribosomal RNA is filed under the name uncultured bacterium. RNAcentral's name for it is "bacterial SSU rRNA". It matches the Rfam family "Bacterial small subunit ribosomal RNA", at positions 338 to 947 of the family's 1533-position model. The record is from RNAcentral.